Molecule: ribosomal RNA, 620 nt
Filed under: Nocardioides sp.
Lineage: Bacteria; Bacillati; Actinomycetota; Actinomycetes; Propionibacteriales; Nocardioidaceae
Description: bacterial SSU rRNA
Rfam family: Bacterial small subunit ribosomal RNA
Source: RNAcentral
GGGUACUCGAGCGGCGAACGGGUGAGUAACACGUGAGUAAUCUGCCCCAGGCUCUGGGAUAGCCACCGGAAACGGUGAUUAAUACCGGAUAUGACAACCGAUCGCAUGAUCUGGUUGUGGAAAGUUUUUCGGCCUGGGAUGUGCUCGCGGCCUAUCAGCUUGUUGGUGAGGUAAUGGCUCACCAAGGCUUCGACGGGUAGCCGGCCUGAGAGGGUGACCGGCCACACUGGGACUGAGACACGGCCCAGACUCCUACGGGAGGCAGCAGUGGGGAAUAUUGGACAAUGGGCGGAAGCCUGAUCCAGCAACGCCGCGUGAGGGAUGACGGCCUUCGGGUUGUAAACCUCUUUCAGCACAGACGAAGCGAAAGUGACGGUAUGUGCAGAAGAAGGACCGGCCAACUACGUGCCAGCAGCCGCGGUAAUACGUAGGGUCCGAGCGUUGUCCGGAAUUAUUGGGCGUAAAGGGCUCGUAGGCGGUCUGUCGCGUCGGGAGUGAAAACCAGGUGCUUAACACCUGGCCUGCUUCCGAUACGGGCAGACUAGAGGUACUCAGGGGAGAAUGGAAUUCCUGGUGUAGCGGUGAAAUGCGCAGAUAUCAGGAGGAACACCGGUGGCGAA